This 1361-nucleotide ribosomal RNA is filed under the name uncultured bacterium. RNAcentral describes it as "bacterial SSU rRNA". It matches the Rfam family "Bacterial small subunit ribosomal RNA", at positions 28 to 1381 of the family's 1533-position model. The record is from RNAcentral.
AUUGAACGCUGGCGGCAGGCCUAACACAUGCAAGUCGAACGGUAGCACAGAGAGCUUGCUCUCGGGUGACGAGUGGCGGACGGGUGAGUAAUGUCUGGGAAACUGCCUGAUGGAGGGGGAUAACUACUGGAAACGGUAGCUAAUACCGCAUAACGUCGCAAGACCAAAGAGGGGGACCUUCGGGCCUCUUGCCAUCAGAUGUGCCCAGAUGGGAUUAGCUAGUAGGUGGGGUAAUGGCUCACCUAGGCGACGAUCCCUAGCUGGUCUGAGAGGAUGACCAGCCACACUGGAACUGAGACACGGUCCAGACUCCUACGGGAGGCAGCAGUGGGGAAUAUUGCACAAUGGGCGCAAGCCUGAUGCAGCCAUGCCGCGUGUAUGAAGAAGGCCUUCGGGUUGUAAAGUACUUUCAGCGGGGAGGAAGGUGUUGCGGUUAAUAACCGCAGCAAUUGACGUUACCCGCAGAAGAAGCACCGGCUAACUCCGUGCCAGCAGCCGCGGUAAUACGGAGGGUGCAAGCGUUAAUCGGAAUUACUGGGCGUAAAGCGCACGCAGGCGGUCUGUCAAGUCGGAUGUGAAAUCCCCGGGCUCAACCUGGGAACUGCAUUCGAAACUGGCAGGCUAGAGUCUUGUAGAGGGGGGUAGAAUUCCAGGUGUAGCGGUGAAAUGCGUAGAGAUCUGGAGGAAUACCGGUGGCGAAGGCGGCCCCCUGGACAAAGACUGACGCUCAGGUGCGAAAGCGUGGGGAGCGAACAGGAUUAGAUACCCUGGUAGUCCACGCCGUAAACGAUGUCGACUUGGAGGUUGUUCCCUUGAGGAGUGGCUUCCGGAGCUAACGCGUUAAGUCGACCGCCUGGGGAGUACGGCCGCAAGGUUAAAACUCAAAUGAAUUGACGGGGGCCCGCACAAGCGGUGGAGCAUGUGGUUUAAUCCGAUGCAACGCGAAGAACCUUACCUACUCUUGACAUCCAGAGAACUUAGCAGAGAUGCUUUGGUGCCUUCGGGAACUCUGAGACAGGUGCUGCAUGGCUGUCGUCAGCUCGUGUUGUGAAAUGUUGGGUUAAGUCCCGCAACGAGCGCAACCCUUAUCCUUUGUUGCCAGCGGUUAGGCCGGGAACUCAAAGGAGACUGCCAGUGAUAAACUGGAGGAAGGUGGGGAUGACGUCAAGUCAUCAUGGCCCUUACGAGUAGGGCUACACACGUGCUACAAUGGCGCAUACAAAGAGAAGCGACCUCGCGAGAGCAAGCGGACCUCAUAAAGUGCGUCGUAGUCCGGAUUGGAGUCUGCAACUCGACUCCAUGAAGUCGGAAUCGCUAGUAAUCGUAGAUCAGAAUGCUACGGUGAAUACGUUCCCGGGCCU